AGUGAACGCUGGCGGCAUGCCUAAUACAUGCAAGUCGAACGGACAGACAAUAAGCUUUCUCCUUUACCGGUGGCGACUGGCGGAUGGGUAACACAUAAAUAAGCUACCAAUUAUUCUUGGGGGACUACGUAAGGCCACAUAUAAUACCAGAUAAUAUGUCCUACCGCAUGAAUCAAUGGUUAAUUGGGGUUUUGCUGUCACUUAUAGAUGAAUCCGUGUCGGAUUAGCUAGUUGGUAAGGUAAAGGCCCACCAAGGCGACGAUGCGUAGCUGAUCUGAGAGGAUGAUCAGCCACACUGGAACUGAGACACGGUCCAGACUCCUACGGGAGGCAGCAGUGGGGAAUAUUGGACAAUGGGCGCAAGCCUGAUCCAGCCAUACCGCGUGGGUGAAGAAGGCCUUCGGGUUGUAAAGCCCUUUUGUUGGGAAAGAAAAGCAGCAGGUUAAUACCCCGCUGUUCUGACGGUACCCAAAGAAUAAGCACCGGCUAACUUCGUG
This 497-nucleotide ribosomal RNA is filed under the name uncultured bacterium. RNAcentral describes it as "partial 16S ribosomal RNA". It matches the Rfam family "Bacterial small subunit ribosomal RNA", at positions 29 to 507 of the family's 1533-position model. The record is from RNAcentral.